Molecule: ribosomal RNA, 371 nt
Filed under: Candidatus Amesbacteria bacterium RIFOXYD1_FULL_47_9
Lineage: Bacteria; Candidatus Amesiibacteriota
Description: bacterial SSU rRNA
Rfam family: Bacterial small subunit ribosomal RNA
Source: RNAcentral
GGAAUUUUAUUGAGAGUUUGAUCCUGGCUCAGGAUGAACGCUGGCGGAGUGCCUUAAGCAUGCAAGUGGAACGGUCGCCGCGAGGCGACAGUCGCAGACGGGUGAGUACAGCAUAGGAAUCUACCCUGGGGUGGGGAAUAACUCGGCGAAAGCUGAGCUAAUUCCGCAUAAGCCCGCAAGGGGAAAGGCCGUAACUGGCCGCCGAAGGAGGAGCCUAUGUCCUAUCAGCUAGUUGGUGGGGUAACGGCCUACCAAGGCAAUGACGGGUAGCUGGACUGAGAGGUCGGUCAGCCACAAUAGCACUUAGACACGGGCUAUACAUCUACGGAUGGCAGCAACUGGGAAUAUUGCGCAAUGGACGAAAGUCUGAC